GAGCCCAUCCCCGCCGCCACAGUCAUCGGCCCGCCUUCGUGGUCGCCGGUUCGCUGCCCACAAUGGCACUCACGCCGCCCCAAGCCCAGCACCGACGAAUUCAUAACCUGUGCACUCUCCUUCCUUGCAUUCCCCAUGCAAGCGCGCAUGAGGCAGCGCCAUUGGAUCAAUGGAGCGCAUGUUGUAUGUGUGUGCGCGUGCGCCUAAACGCGACGACGCGUGCGGGAGCUCCCCCUUCUCCUUCCUUUUCCUCUCUCCCGGCGCGCGCGAUGGAGCUUGAGCUGGGCGGGACACUGAGCAUGAGUUCAUGGGGGCAGAGGAAGAAGUCAGUCAGGUAGAAGGCGUGAACAUUGGGGGGUGGCUACAUGCGAGAAGGAGGUUGUGAAUGCUGGGAUGGGUGCUGGCUGGCCGACGAGUGCAUCAAAGGUACUCGUGAACAUGGUGAUAAGGGAUUGGUGCUGCAGCGGUAUGCGUCUGGUGGCCAUGCAGUGGCAUCCACUACUUAGAUACGUAAUCUAGCCGACAAUGGGGAUGAAAUAAAGAGAAGAAGAAAUUCCUGUGAUGGAUCUCUAUGGAAGUUGUUACAUGAAGCAUUUUUAUCUGGGAACGUCUACUUUA
This is a long non-coding RNA of Triticum dicoccoides, 618 nucleotides long. RefSeq lists it as uncharacterized. The transcript is spliced from 3 exons. The record is from RefSeq and is a predicted model, not a curated record. NCBI's taxonomy places the organism in Eukaryota, Viridiplantae, Streptophyta, Magnoliopsida, Poales, Poaceae.